This 287-nucleotide signal recognition particle RNA is filed under the name Saimiri boliviensis boliviensis (Bolivian squirrel monkey). Its description in RNAcentral is "Metazoan signal recognition particle RNA (ENSSBOG00000012503.1)". It matches the Rfam family "Metazoan signal recognition particle RNA". Rfam says of the family: The signal recognition particle (SRP) is a universally conserved ribonucleoprotein. It is involved in the co-translational targeting of proteins to membranes. The record is from RNAcentral. Lineage: Eukaryota; Metazoa; Chordata; Mammalia; Primates; Cebidae.
GCUGGGCACAGUGGCGCGUGCCUAUAGUCUCAGCUACUCGUGAGGCUGAGACUGGAGGAUCGCUUGAGCCCAGAAAUUCUGGGCUGUAGUGCACUAUGCAGAUCGGGUGCCCGCACUAAGUUCAGCAUCAAUAUGGUGACCUCCCGGGAGCAAGGGAUCACAAGGUUGCCUAAGGAGGGUUGAACCAGCCCAGGUGGGAAACGGAGCAGGUCAAAACUCCCAUGCUAAUCAGUAGUGGGAUUGUGCCACUGCGCUCCAGCCUGGGCAGCUAGCAAGACCCUGUCUCU